AUUAAAUAAUUAAAAAGGGAAAGGGGAUGGGCUAGCUGGGUUUGGGUUACCCAGAUGGGCCGGGCCGACCGAUCUGCAUGGGCUGCAAGGGAAAACGCAAGCGGGAGUCAUGGGCUGGUGGGCCUUGGUCGGUUGGGCCAUCUGCGAGCCUAUCCAUGCGGGGUGGGCACGAUCAUCCCCUUGGGCUUGCACACGUGAGGUCGGUUCUACAUGAGCCUAGAGGGUCACAUGCGUGGGCGCUCUCAAGGGCCUGUGCGGUCACGCGUGCAUGUUCAUUGGUCGUAUGGGCUGGGCCACUUGUUCGACAUGCGUUUGCAUCAGGCGUGGGCUUUCAUACAAUUCUUCAAGCCCAUCAGUCUUACUUGGGCCUUAAGCCUUUUGGCUUGAACAAACCU
RNAcentral lists this long non-coding RNA (395 nucleotides) under Carica papaya (papaya). RNAcentral describes it as "long non-coding RNA (CPAP_LNC010179)". Lineage: Eukaryota; Viridiplantae; Streptophyta; Magnoliopsida; Brassicales; Caricaceae. The record is from RNAcentral.